UAACACAUGCAAGUCGAACGGUAACAGGAAACAGCUUGCUGUUUCGCUGACGAGUGGCGGACGGGUGAGUAAUGUCUGGGAAACUGCCCGAUGGAGGGGGAUAACUACUGGAAACGGUAGCUAAUACCGCAUAACGUCGCAAGACCAAAGAGGGGGACCUUCGGGCCUCUUGCCAUCGGAUGUGCCCAGAUGGGAUUAGCUAGUAGGUGGGGUAACGGCUCACCUAGGCGACGAUCCCUAGCUGGUCUGAGAGGAUGACCAGCCACACUGGAACUGAGACACGGUCCAGACUCCUACGGGAGGCAGCAGUGGGGAAUAUUGCACAAUGGGCGCAAGCCUGAUGCAGCCAUGCCGCGUGUAUGAAGAAGGCCUUCGGGUUGUAAAGUACUUUCAGCGGGGAGGAAGGGAGUAAAGUUAAUACCUUUGCUCAUUGACGUUACCCGCAGAAGAAGCACCGGCUAACUCCGUGCCAGCAGCCGCGGUAAUACGGAGGGUGCAAGCGUUAAUCGGAAUUACUGGGCGUAAAGCGCACGCAGGCGGUUUGUUAAGUCAGAUGUGAAAUCCCCGGGCUCAACCUGGGAACUGCAUCUGAUACUGGCAAGCUUGAGUCUCGUAGAGGGGGGUAGAAUUCCAGGUGUAGCGGUGAAAUGCGUAGAGAUCUGGAGGAAUACCGGUGGCGAAGGCGGCCCCCUGGACGAAGACUGACGCUCAGGUGCGAAAGCGUGGGGAGCAAACAGGAUUAGAUACCCUGGUAGUCCACGCCGUAAACGAUGUCGACUUGGAGGUUGUGCCCUUGAGGCGUGGCUUCCGGAGCUAACGCGUUAAGUCGACCGCCUGGGGAGUACGGCCGCAAGGUUAAAACUCAAAUGAAUUGACGGGGGCCCGCACAAGCGGUGGAGCAUGUGGUUUAAUUCGAUGCAACGCGAAGAACCUUACCUGGUCUUGACAUCCACGGAAGUUUUCAGAGAUGAGAAUGUGCCUUCGGGAACCGUGAGACAGGUGCUGCAUGGCUGUCGUCAGCUCGUGUUGUGAAAUGUUGGGUUAAGUCCCGCAACGAGCGCAACCCUUAUCCUUUGUUGCCAGCGGUCCGGCCGGGAACUCAAAGGAGACUGCCAGUGAUGAACUGGAGGAAGGUGGGGAAGACGUCAAGUCAUCAUGGCCCUUACGACCAGGGCUACACACGUGCUACAAUGGCGCAUACAAAGAGAAGCGACCUCGCGAGAGCAAGCGGACCUCAUAAAGUGCGUCGUAGUCCGGAUUGGAGUCUGCAACUCGACUCCAUGAAGUCGGAAUCGCUAGUAAUCGUGGAUCAGAAUGCCACGGUGAAUACGUUCCCGGGCCUUGUACACACCGCCCGUCACACCAUGGGAGUGGGUUGCAAAAGAAGUAGGUAGCUUAACCUUCGGGAGGGCGCUUACCACUUUGUGAUUCAUGACUGGGGUGAAGU
Molecule: ribosomal RNA, 1447 nt
Filed under: uncultured organism
Description: 16S ribosomal RNA
Rfam family: Bacterial small subunit ribosomal RNA
Source: RNAcentral